UGCAGCAACGCCGCGUGAGGGAUGACGGCCUUCGGGUUGUAAACCUCUUUUUAGUAGGGAAGAAGCGAAAGUGACGGUACCUGCAGAAAAAGCACCGGCUAACUACGUGCCAGCAGCCGCGGUAAUACGUAGGGUGCAAGCGUUGUCCGGAAUUAUUGGGCGUAAAGAGCUCGUAGGCGGUUUGUCGCGUCUGCUGUGAAAUCCCGAGGCUCAACCUCGGGCUUGCAGUGGGUACGGGCAGACUAGAGUGCGGUAGGGGAGAUUGGAAUUCCUGGUGUAGCGGUGGAAUGCGCAGAUAUCAGGAGGAACACCGAUGGCGAAGGCAGAUCUCUGGGCCGUAACUGACGCUGAGGAGCGAAAGCAUGGGGAGCGAACAGGAUUAGAUACCCUGGUAGUCCAUGCCGUAAACGUUGGGCGCUAGAUGUAGGGACCUUUCCACGGUUUCUGUGUCGUAGCUAACGCAUUAAGCGCCCCGCCUGGGGAGUACGGCCGCAAGGCUAAAACUCAAAGGAAUUGACGGGGGCCCGCACAAGCGGCGGAGCAUGCGGAUUAAUUCGAUGCAACGCGAAGAACCUUACCAAGGCUUGACAUACACCGGAAACGGCCAGAGAUGGUCGCCCCCUUGUG
Molecule: ribosomal RNA, 627 nt
Filed under: Curtobacterium sp. Ri2Pt_4039
Lineage: Bacteria; Bacillati; Actinomycetota; Actinomycetes; Micrococcales; Microbacteriaceae
Description: bacterial SSU rRNA
Rfam family: Bacterial small subunit ribosomal RNA
Source: RNAcentral